This 492-nucleotide ribosomal RNA is filed under the name uncultured bacterium. RNAcentral describes it as "partial 16S ribosomal RNA". It matches the Rfam family "Bacterial small subunit ribosomal RNA", at positions 29 to 507 of the family's 1533-position model. The record is from RNAcentral.
AGUGAACGCUGGCGGUAGGCCUAACACAUGCAAGUCGAACGGCAGCACAGUAAGAGCUUGCUCUUACGGGUGGCGAGUGGCGGACGGGUGAGGAAUACAUCGGAAUCUACUUUUUCGUGGGGGAUAACGUAGGGAAACUUACGCUAAUACCGCAUACGACCUACGGGUGAAAGCAGGGGAUCUUCGGACCUUGCGCGAUUGAAUGGGCCGAUGUCGGAUUAGCUAGUUGGCGGGGUAAAGGCCCACCAAGGCGACGAUCCGUAGCUGGUCUGAGAGGAUGAUCAGCCACACUGGAACUGAGACACGGUCCAGACUCCUACGGGAGGCAGCAGUGGGGAAUAUUGGUCAAUGGGCGCAAGCCUGAUCCAGCCAUACCGCGUGGGUGAAGAAGGCCUUCGGGUUGUAAAGCCCUUUUGUUGGGAAAGAAAAGCAGCAGGUUAAUACCCCGCUGUUCUGACGGUACCCAAAGAAUAAGCACCGGCUAACUUCGUG